Molecule: RNase P RNA, 651 nt
Filed under: candidate division Kazan bacterium RIFCSPHIGHO2_01_FULL_44_14
Lineage: Bacteria
Also listed under: 1 other name
Description: RNase P RNA component class A
Rfam family: Bacterial RNase P class A
About the family: Ribonuclease P (RNase P) is a ubiquitous endoribonuclease, found in archaea, bacteria and eukarya as well as chloroplasts and mitochondria. Its best characterised activity is the generation of mature 5'-ends of tRNAs by cleaving the 5'-leader elements of precursor-tRNAs.
Source: RNAcentral
UCAGCAAGCCUUGAACCUAGAAAGUGGGGGGAGGAAAGUCCGGACACCAUUCUAAAUCAGGAAAGUCGCUAACGGCGACCGUUGCCAGUGCUUCGCACUGGGAAAUUUAUCCAAUCUCUCCAAUCUGACCAAUCUUACCAAUCUAAGAAAUUAAAUUGGCGAAGGUUGGAAUAAAUUGGAUUAAAUUGGUUAGAUUGACCAAUGCGGAGCGUUGGUGAUAGGGAAAGUGCCACAGAGACAAUACUAACCAGUGCUUCGCACUGGAAUCAUCAAAUCUCAAAAUCCAAAUCCCAAACAGAUUAUUGUUUGAUAUUUGGUGCUUGGGACUUGGUAUUUCCAACGCGGAGCGUUGGUGAAAGGUGAAAAGCAACAGGGUGUUGAAGUGUUGAAUGGCGGGUUAAUCCCGCCAAUCGGCUCCAAAGCUACCUGUCGGACUCCGUCGUGAGACGGAUGUUCUGGCAAACCCUUUCCGGUGCAAGUUGGGCUGGACCGUGUCCGUCAAUCGCUUUGGUUUAGACGAGGCGGACAAGGACCCUAACGCUUGAGAUUAAUGGCAACAUUAACCCCAGAUAGAUGACUACUUCACCCACCAAAGUUUUGCUUUCGCAAAAUUUAGGCGGGCAAGACAGAAUCCGGCUUACGGCUGGCAAA